Molecule: ribosomal RNA, 913 nt
Filed under: Aspicilia boykinii
Lineage: Eukaryota; Fungi; Ascomycota; Lecanoromycetes; Pertusariales; Megasporaceae
Description: partial large subunit ribosomal RNA
Rfam family: Eukaryotic large subunit ribosomal RNA
Source: RNAcentral
UUUCAGCNGAAGUUUCCNUCAGGAUAGCAGUACCGUUUUCAGUUUUAUGAGGUAAAGCGAAUGAUUAGAGGCCUUGGGGGUGAAACACCCUUAACCUAUUCUCAAACUUUAAAUAUGUAAGAAGUCCUUGUUGUUUAGUUGAACGCGGACAUUUGAAUGCACCGUUACUAGUGGGCCAUUUUUGGUAAGCAGACCUGGCGAUGCGGGAUGAACCGAACGUGAGGUUAAGGUGCCGGAAUGCACGCUCAUCAGACACCAAACCUUUUGUGGUGUCCACCCCGGGACCCGCCGAGUCCCGGCCAGUCGUUGCCCUCGGCGAUGGCGAGGUCUUUGAUCUGCGGGGAGCGCUGGAAUCCAGCCUACCCGCAGCCACUCCCCCGUGGCUCACAGAUUAAGCGUAGGCCGGCGGUCCCACCGGGGCCGCUUGAGAUAUGAUCGGGCCCCGGGUGCCGAACCCGGGGGUCCCCGCAAAAGGUGUUAAUUCAUCUAGACAGUUGGACGGUGGCCAUGGAAGUCGGAAUCCGCCAAGGAGUGUGUGGCCCGCCCGCGGGGAGAGGUUGUUGCACACGGACAGCAGGAUAUUUGCUAGCGGGCCCGGGGCUUUCGCCUCUGGGUUCCGUGACAGCUCUAGGGUGCCAGGAUGCCUACCCCUCGAUAGGGGUCGCGCCACCGGCAGCGGAGGGUUCGCCCGUCCGUCCACAGACUAGACAGAGCUGACCGCGGGCCACACCGCGGUGAAGACAUAGCCGUUUGGGGCCCUGAGAAGGCGCCCGCGCUGGCAAAGAAUAACUCACCAACCGAAUGAAUUAGCCCUGAAAAUGGAUGGCGCUCAAGCGUGCUACCCAUACCUCGCCGCCAGGGUAGAAACGAUGCCCUGGCGAGUAGGCUGACGUGGGGGUCAGUGACGAAGCCU